Molecule: non-coding RNA, 73 nt
Organism: Ameiurus melas (black bullhead)
Lineage: Eukaryota; Metazoa; Chordata; Actinopteri; Siluriformes; Ictaluridae
Source: the annotation of a GenBank genome assembly
GGGGGAGGGGGUUAGUGGUUAGCAUGUUUGGCUCGCACCCUCAGGGUUGGAGGUUUGAAUCCUGUCUCCACCC